GGCGAACGCUGGCGGCGUGCCUAAUACAUGCAAGUCGAGCGAAGUUUUUCUGGUGCUUGCACUAGAAAGACUUAGCGGCGCACGGGUGAGUCACACGUAAAGAACCUGCCUCAUAGACUGGGACAACUAUUGGAAACGAUAGCUAAUACCGGAUAACAGCAUUAACUGCAUGGUUGAUGUUUAAAAGUUGGUUUUGCUAACACUAUGAGAUGGCUUUGCGGUGCAUUAGCUAGUUGGUGGGGUAAAGGCCUACCAAGGCGACGAUGCAUAGCCGACCUGAGAGGGUGAUCGGCCACACUGGGACUGAGACACGGCCCAGACUCCUACGGGAGGCAGCAGUAGGGAAUCUUCCGAAAUGGGCGAAAGCCUGACGGAGCAACGCCGCGUGAGUGAAGAAGGAUUUCGGUUCGUAAAGCUCUGUUGUUAGGGAAGAAUGAUUGUGUAGUAACUAUACACAGUAGAGACGGUACCUAACCAGAAAGCCACGGCUAACUACGU
Molecule: ribosomal RNA, 498 nt
Filed under: uncultured bacterium
Lineage: Bacteria
Description: partial 16S ribosomal RNA
Rfam family: Bacterial small subunit ribosomal RNA
Source: RNAcentral